Molecule: ribosomal RNA, 2570 nt
Filed under: Methanomassiliicoccales archaeon
Lineage: Archaea; Methanobacteriati; Thermoplasmatota; Thermoplasmata; Methanomassiliicoccales
Description: partial 23S ribosomal RNA
Rfam family: Archaeal large subunit ribosomal RNA
Source: RNAcentral
UCUGGGGGAUGGCUCGGCUCAAGCGCCGAUGAAGGUCGUGUCAAGCUGCGAUAAGCGCCGGGUAGGUGCACGAAGCCUAUGAUCCGGCGAUGACCUAAUGGGACUUCCUGCUCUUAGGAGCGGUCCUUAUGGAUCGGGAACGCGGGGGAUUGAAACAUCUUAGUACCCGCAGGAAAAGAAAUCAAUAGAGAUGCCGUUAGUAAAGGCGAUCGAACGCGGCAAAGGGCAAACUGAAUCCCCUCGGAAACGAGUGGGAGAUGUGGUGUUGUUGGAUCCGAGCACAUCUUCGUUGAUAAACCAGAAGUUGGCUGGAAUGCCACGCCAAAGAGGGUGAUAGCCCCGUACGGGUAAAUCAAAAAGAUGAUUUCGGGUAUCCAGAGUAGCGUGCGUUGGAUAUCGCGCGUGAAGCAGGGAAACAUUCAUUUCCAACCCUAAAUACGUCUUGAGACCGAUAGCGCAUUAGUAGCGUGAGCGAAGGCUGAAAAGUACCCUUUACGGGAGGUAAAAAGAGCCUGAAACCAGACGGUUAUAAGCUGAUACGGCGUGAAAGGAACGAAGCUUAAUUGCUGACCAGCGUCGUAUCUUCCGUUUAGAAAAACGGGCCAGGGAGUUCUGAUCAAUGGCGAGACUAAGCGUGUAGACGCGGAGUCGAAGGGAAACCAACCGCCCGCAACUUUUCAAGUGAGGGGCGAGGUGUGCUCGCCUGGAGUCAUUGGUGGGAUACCCGAAGCCAGUCGAUCUAGGCCUGGGCAGGUUGAAGCCUCUCGAAAGGGAGGUGGAGGACCGAACCGGUGCUGAUGUUCAAAUCGCUCGGAUGACCUGGGUCUAGGGGUGAAAGGCCAAUCUAGACUGGAAAUAGCUGGUUCCUCUCGAAACUAGUCGUAGCUAGAUCUCAGUGGAGGCUGAUCAUGGGGUAGAGCACUGAUUGGGCGUUUAGGGGGAGAAAUCCCUCGGCAUCCUGUCAAACUCCGAACCUGUGGUCGUCGUAGAAGCUGGGAGUGAGGGCGUCUGGGGUAAGCUUGGCGUCCAUAAGGGAAAGAACCCAGCCCGAAGUUAAGGUCCCUAAGUACCGGCUAAGUGUAACAUGAAAGGGAGUCCAUAGUCUUAGACAACCGGGAGGUGGGCUUAGAAGCAGCCAUCCUUUAAAGAUAGCGUAACAGCUCACCGGUCGAGAUUGUGGGCCCCAAAAAUGGACGGGGCUAAGCCGGUCACCGAUACUUCGGAGCACCGAAAGGUGAUCUGGUAGAGAGGCGUCGUGCGUGGGUAGAAGCUUGGCUGUGAAGUCAAGUGGACCGCGUUCGAAUGAGGAUCCUGGUAGGAGUAGCAGCAAAGAACGGUGAGAAUCCGUUCCGCCGCAGGGGCUAGGGUUCCUUGGCAAUGUUCGUCAGCCAAGGGUUAGCCGAUCCUAAGUUGACUCUUAAUCGAAGUCUUCGAAAGGGAAGCAGGUUAAUAUUCCUGCGCCAUGCCAGCUUUUGCCUGUCGUCUGACGCAUCUGGAUAGAUCUUACAGGGUUGCCUACCUGUUCAAGCGUUUAAGCCCGCGGAGAACCGUAAUGGUGAGAAACGGGUGAAUGCGUGAUGAGGGGGGCGAAGGCCCCCUUAGGUUAAUUCCUGGUGCCAAUGAAAAGGACGGCAGUUACAUCUGGUGUGUUCGUACCGAGAACUGACACAGGUGCCCCUAGGUGAGAAGCCUAAGGCGUGUCGGCGUAAUCCAGGCGAGGGAACUCGGCAAAUUGGCCCCGUACCUUCGGUAUAAGGGGUGCCAGCCAUGAGAAUGGCUGGUCGCAGUGACCAGGGAGCUCCGACUGUUUAAUAAAAACAUAUAUGGCAGCUAGUCCGAAAGGAUGUGUAUUGCCGUUGAAGCCUGCCCAGUGACGGUAUCUGAACCUCCGGUUCAACGGAGCGAAGGACCGUUAAACGGCGGGGGUAACUAUGACCCUCUUAAGGUAGCGUAAUACCUUGCCGCUUAAUUGGCGGCUCGCAUGAAGGCCCAACGAGAGCUCUACUGUCCCCGCCUGGAAGCCGGUGAAACUGACAAUACUGGCGCACAGUCCAGUAUCUUCCAUCUGAAAGCGAAGACCCCAUGGAGCUUUACUGCAACCUGUGGUUGUGGUAUGAGCUUGUAUGUGUAGGGUAGGCGGGAGACGUUACCCAGGACCUGCCGCUAGGUAGGCUCCGAGUCAACGAUGAAACACCGCCCUUAUGAGUUCGUAUCACUUACUUCUCCGGAAGGACACCUAUAGGUGGGCAGUUUGGGUGGGGCGCCACGCGCUCAAAAAGAUAUCAAGCGCGCCCAAUGGUCAGCUCAGGCAGGUCAGAAAUCUGCCGAAGAGUGCAAGGGCAAAAGCUGGCUUGACGCGGAUCGGGACAACAACGACCCGCGAUGCGAAAGCAGGGCCUAGCGAACCAUUGAACCUUCUGAAUGGGGGUCAAUGAUGACAGAAAAGUUACCCUGGGGAUAACUGAGUUGUCUCCUGCAAGAGUUCAUAUCGACCAGGAGGCUUGCUACUUCGCUGUCGGCUCUCCCUAUCCUGGCGGUGCAGCAGCUGCCAAGGGUGGGGUUGUUCGCCC